This 301-nucleotide ribosomal RNA is filed under the name uncultured bacterium. Its description in RNAcentral is "partial 16S ribosomal RNA". It matches the Rfam family "Bacterial small subunit ribosomal RNA", at positions 509 to 807 of the family's 1533-position model. The record is from RNAcentral.
CAGUCGCCGCGGUAAUACGUAGGGGGCAAGCGUUGUCCGGAAUUAUUGGGCGUAAAGCGCGCGCAGGCGGCUUCUUAAGUCUGAUGUGAAAGCCCCCGGCUCAACCGGGGAGGGUCAUUGGAAACUGGGAAACUUGAGUGCAGAAGAGGAGAGUGGAAUUCCACGUGUAGCGGUGAAAUGCGUAGAGAUGUGGAGGAACACCAGUGGCGAAGGCGACUCUCUGGUCUGUAGCUGACGCUGAGGAGCGAAAGCGUGGGGAGCGAACAGGAUUAGAUACCCCAGUAGUCCCUGUCUCUUAUAC